RNAcentral lists this ribosomal RNA (460 nucleotides) under uncultured bacterium. RNAcentral describes it as "partial 16S ribosomal RNA". It matches the Rfam family "Bacterial small subunit ribosomal RNA", at positions 338 to 795 of the family's 1533-position model. The record is from RNAcentral.
CCUACGGGCGGCAGCAGUGAGGAAUAUUGGUCAAUGGACGAGAGUCUGAACCAGCCAAGUAGCGUGAAGGAUGACUGCCCUAUGGGUUGUAAACUUCUUUUAUAUGGGAAUAAAACGUUCCACGUGUGGGAUUUUGUAUGUACCAUAUGAAUAAGGAUCGGCUAACUCCGUGCCAGCAGCCGCGGUAAUACGGAGGAUCCGAGCGUUAUCCGGAUUUAUUGGGUUCAAAGGGAGCGUAGGUGGAUUGUUAAGUCAGUUGUGAAAGUUUGCGGCUCAACCGUAAAAUUGCAGUUGAAACUGGCAGUCUUGAGUACAGUAGAGGUGGGCGGAAUUCGUGGUGUAGCGGUGAAAUGCUUAGAUAUCACGAAGAACUCCGAUUGCGAAGACAGUUCACUGGACUGCAACUGACACUGAGGCUCGAAAGUGUGGGUAUCAAACAGGAUUAGAUACCCCUGUAGUC